Molecule: ribosomal RNA, 440 nt
Filed under: uncultured bacterium
Lineage: Bacteria
Description: bacterial SSU rRNA
Rfam family: Bacterial small subunit ribosomal RNA
Source: RNAcentral
ACUCCUACGGGAGGACAGUCAGGUGGGAAUAUUGCACAAUGGGCGCAAGCCUGAUGCAGCCAUGCCGCGUGUAUGAAGAAGGCCUUCGGGUUGUAAAGUACUUUCAGCAGUGAGGAAGGUGGAGUCGUUAAUAGCGGCCUCAUUUGACGUUAGCUGCAGAAGAAGCACCGGCUAACUCCGUGCCAGCAGCCGCGGUAAUACGGAGGGUGCGAGCGUUAAUCGGAAUUACUGGGCGUAAAGCGCAUGCAGGUGGUUUGUUAAGUCAGAUGUGAAAGCCCGGGGCUCAAUCUCGGAAUAGCAUUUGAAACUGGCAGACUAGAGUACUUAGAGGGGGUAGAAUUUCAGGUGUAGCGGUGAAAUGCGUAGAGAUCUGAAGGAAUACCGGUGGCGAAGGCGGCCCCCUGGACAGAUACUGACACUCAGAUGCGAAAGCGGUGGGG